AGGGCCCGGCCGAAACGUAGAUUUUGUAUAUUCACGUUUUUCAACUAUUAAAUUUCUUCUUCUUCCUGACCGGAACUUCGACGAACCUUUCAUUUUCAAUCUACCUCCCGGUCACAAAUUUCUUUCCUAAACACAAUGCAUCGAAACGGCUUCGUGGACGUCUCGUACCACCGUCAUCCUACGUCAUACCGAACUUCAAAUCACUCACAAACCAAGAAGAUCUGGAACUACCGGCAAAAACUAGCACGCAUCAAAAACCAUUUUAUUUCCUGAGGAUGGUCGGCAGGGCCCGGCCGAAACGUAGAUUUUGUAUAUUCACGUUUUUCAACUAUUAAAUUUCUUCUUCUUCCUGACCGGAACUUCGACGAACCUUUCAUUUUCAAUCUACCUCCCGGUCACAAAUUUCUUUCCUAAACACAAUGCAUCGAAACGGCUUCGUGGACGUCUCGUACCACCGUCAUCCUACGUCAUACCGAACUUCAAAUCACUCACAAACCAAGAAGAUCUGGAACUACCGGCAAAAACUAGCACGCAUCAAAAACCAUUUUAUUUCCUGAGGAUGGUCGGCAGGGCCCGGCCGAAACGUAGAUUUUGUAUAUUCACGUUUUUCAACUAUUAAAUUUCUUCUUCUUCCUGACCGGAACUUCGACGAACCUUUCAUUUUCAAUCUACCUCCCGGUCACAAAUUUCUUUCCUAAACACAAUGCAUCGAAACGGCUUCGUGGACGUCUCGUACCACCGUCAUCCUACGUCAUACCGAACUUCAAAUCACUCACAAACCAAGAAGAUCUGGAACUACCGGCAAAAACUAGCACGCAUCAAAAACCAUUUUAUUUCCUGAGGAUGGUCGGCAGGGCCCGGCCGAAACGUAGAUUUUGUAUAUUCACGUUUUUCAACUAUUAAAUUUCUUCUUCUUCCUGACCGGAACUUCGACGAACCUUUCAUUUUCAAUCUACCUCCCGGUCACAAAUUUCUUUCCUAAACACAAUGCAUCGAAACGGCUUCGUGGACGUCUCGUACCACCGUCAUCCUACGUCAUACCGAACUUCAAAUCACUCACAAACCAAGAAGAUCUGGAACUACCGGCAAAAACUAGCACGCAUCAAAAACCAUUUUAUUUCCUGAGGAUGGUCGGCAGGGCCCGGCCGAAACGUAGAUUUUGUAUAUUCACGUUUUUCAACUAUUAAAUUUCUUCUUCUUCCUGACCGGAACUUCGACGAACCUUUCAUUUUCAAUCUACCUCCCGGUCACAAAUUUCUUUCCUAAACACAAUGCAUCGAAACGGCUUCGUGGACGUCUCGUACCACCGUCAUCCUACGUCAUACCGAACUUCAAAUCACUCACAAACCAAGAAGAUCUGGAACUACCGGCAAAAACUAGCACGCAUCAAAAACCAUUUUAUUUCCUGAGGAUGGUCGGCAGGGCCCGGCCGAAACGUAGAUUUUGUAUAUUCACGUUUUUCAACUAUUAAAUUUCUUCUUCUUCCUGACCGGAACUUCGACGAACCUUUCAUUUUCAAUCUACCUCCCGGUCACAAAUUUCUUUCCUAAACACAAUGCAUCGAAACGGCUUCGUGGACGUCUCGUACCACCGUCAUCCUACGUCAUACCGAACUUCAAAUCACUCACAAACCAAGAAGAUCUGGAACUACCGGCAAAAACUAGCACGCAUCAAAAACCGUAAGGUGUUCCUCCUUAAAUGCCGCCAAUUUGGAAUUAUUCCAAAUUUUCUAAAUUUUAAAAUCAAAAACCUUCAACAUUUAAAAAGUGAAAAAACUUUCAUCAAAGCAUUACGCGUUUUUCAACAAAAGUGUCUGUCGCUUGAAAUUAAAACAUGU
Molecule: long non-coding RNA, 1837 nt
Filed under: Neodiprion pinetum (white pine sawfly)
Lineage: Eukaryota; Metazoa; Arthropoda; Insecta; Hymenoptera; Diprionidae
Description: uncharacterized LOC124218903
Source: RNAcentral